UAGCCACAAGCAAGUCCCUGUAAGGUCAAGUCUGGCUCUUCCUGUUGGGUCUGCCAUUGACUAUGACUGCUUCAGAUCCAAGUCCACAGAUCCUAUCUGUAAACUCUAACCAGGAUCAUAUUUUAACUAUCACAUCUCAGCAGAAUGGAACUUUGCUUUCACAUUCUCUUUCACUAGAUGUCUCCAAAUACCAACUAAAAGGACAUUUUCCAUCCACAGAAGCAAGCAGCAAGGGUUCAAGCUUGAGCCCACUAGGAAUGGCAGCCCCGUCUAUGAAAGAAAGACAGGCUUGCUGGGGAGCCCGGGAUGAAUACUGGAAGUGUUUAGAUGAGAACACAGAGGACGCUUCUCAGUGCAAGAAGUUAAGAAGCUCAUUUGAAUCCAGUUGUCCCCAGCAGUGGGGCUGUUCGCGCUCAGCCUGCUCCCUCCCCACCUGUGUGCUCUGCUCAGGGAUUGCCUGUUGACGUCUUCCCCGGUAGCCAGAGACGAGAAACGGAAAGAUUUUUCCAGAGCCGUGUGAGAAGAUAAAAUAUUUUGAUAAAAGAAGAGACUACUUAAAGUUCAAAGAAAAAUUUGAAGCAGGACAAUUCCAGCCUUCAAAAACACCUGCAAAGUCCUAGGCUGCUCCUGAACUUCUCAGAAGGUUUGAAUCAUGGUAAACAGCGUGACUUGGUCCACAUAAACAACUCUUUAAAAUGAUCAAGUAACAGAGAUUCCAUCAUUCAAACUAUGAAGAAUCAAAAUGGUAUGAAAGAUGCUUAGUUUUAGUUUAGUAAGGAAGCUAUAUUUUAAGGAAAAUUAAAGCCUAUUAUAAAAACCCA
RNA transcript from Zalophus californianus (California sea lion), 821 nucleotides. It is a transcript of the gene named cytochrome c oxidase assembly factor 6 homolog, with no coding region annotated. NCBI's taxonomy places the organism in Eukaryota, Metazoa, Chordata, Mammalia, Carnivora, Otariidae. The record is from RefSeq and is a predicted model, not a curated record. The transcript has 5 exons.